GUGGCCAUUGUCUAACAGAUAAGACAGAGGUUUCUAAAACUUUGGUAUAGGUUCUAAUCCUAUUGACACA
This 70-nucleotide transfer RNA is filed under the name Capsicum annuum. It matches the Rfam family "tRNA". Rfam says of the family: Transfer RNA (tRNA) molecules are approximately 80 nucleotides in length. Their secondary structure includes four short double-helical elements and three loops (D, anti-codon, and T loops). The record is from Rfam by way of RNAcentral. Lineage: Eukaryota; Viridiplantae; Streptophyta; Magnoliopsida; Solanales; Solanaceae.